UCUAGCUCCCUGACCAAACUCUACCACCCUUAAUAGAUGUAUUUACAGCUCUCAUAGCAUAGGCCAAGGGUUUAUUGGGGUCAGGAAUCUGGAGAUUGCAAUGGCAGAGUUUUUGGGAUUAGCAGCAGCAGCAACAGGUGUAUCAGAAUUGUGACAGUUUGCAGAGGAAGAGCUACAAGCAACCCCAACAACAGCAGUAAAGCAAGCAAAAGAAAUCAACCAUUUUUGAAUCCCAAAAUCAGAGAAAAAAGAUUAGGAAUCUGGAUUUCCAAGAGAAUCAGCAAUAUCUCCAACUUGUCCAAAACCAGCAUCAAACACAUGGGGAGCUCAUAAAUUCUCACCCAACACAAACACAAGUAGCUCCCAACAACAACCACCAUCAAAUUCUAGACCACCAAAGCAUUCAACAAGAAUAUGCAAAGCAAAGAGGAGGAGAGAGAAUGGGAAUGAAGAGCACUGGAGGAGGAGGAGGAGGAGAGAUUAUACAAGUUCAAGGAGGCCACAUUGUUCGAUCCACCGGCCGCAAAGACCGCCACAGCAAGGUCUACACCGCCAAAGGCCCCCGAGACCGCCGCGUCCGGUUGUCUGCCCACACCGCCAUCCAAUUCUACGAUGUUCAAGACCGCCUCGGCUAUGACCGCCCCAGCAAAGCGGUUGACUGGCUCAUCAAGAAAGCAAAAUCCUCCAUUGACAAGCUUGCUGAGCUUCCUCCUUGGCACCCUAUCACUGGUGUUGCAGCAAACAAUGCUGAGCCCGAUCAAUCCAAUCCAAAUGAAAUGGUGAUUGCAGGAGGAGCAGAGGAAACGGAGUCCUCUGGCUACAAUUUCCACCAGCUGCAGAGGCAAAUGGGUGAGAAUAACAACAACCAAGCAAAUAAUGUUUCAAGCUUCAACAUUCCUCCAUCUCUAGACUCAGACACCAUAGCUGACACCAUGAAAUCAUUCUUCCCCACAAGCUCAGCAGCCAAUUCAUCCAUCAAUUUCCAAAGCUACCCAGCGGAUCAUGAUCUGAUUUCAAGAACCACCAACCUAAACCCUUGCCAAGACCUUGGCCUCAGCAAUCCCAAGGGGACACCAACCACAACAACGAUCAGAUUCAGACCCUUUUCGCCGCGGGGGCGGGAGGAUCAACAGUGGGAUUUGACACUAGUUAUCAGAGAAUGGUGGCAUGGAGCAAUCAGAACAGAGGAGGCGAUGGUGGAUUUGUAUUCAACUCACACUCACAAGCAUUGCCACAGCAGGCAUAUGCUCAUGCUCAGGGGGGUACCCUUCAGUCCAGUUUUUCUCCAUCAGUUUCAGCUCGGGCCUGGAACGAUUCUUCUAUCUUUGGCACACAGCAGAGAACACAGCAGCAGCAGCAGCCAAUGAUUCACCAUUCUUCAAUCUUUGGCACCCGCUUCGCGUCUGAUGGCGGCUUGCCAGUGUUCUGCAUCCCCACGCGUAUUGACGCUGAGGAGGCCGAUAAUGGCGGUGUUUCAGAUCGACCAUCAUCCACUUCCUCUCCCAAUUCCACCCACCAUUGAUUGGAUAACUAAUUCUAUCUUCGGGUAUCAAAUUGGGAGACAAGAAGGAAGAUUCAAUCCAAUUGAAUGGUCUACCAAGGAAAGAAAAGUAUCUGGUUUGGAUUUUCAAACAUUCUUUUCUUCUUUGUUGAUCUAUAUAUUUAAUUAGAUUCCCUAGUUGUUUUUAAAUUUGAUGGGACCUUUUUUUUUUGUUUAUUCAUCAAGUGGGUCUCUCUGUUGGCUCAACUUUGUUUUCUUUGUUACUACUUAAUGUGACACAUAUAACCAGGAUAUUUCUGUUCAGGGUUAUCACUUUAAUCCUUAUGAUCCCCACAUUUCCUUUUUCUUUAAUUUGGUUGA
Molecule: non-coding RNA, 1861 nt
Organism: Prunus mume (Japanese apricot)
Lineage: Eukaryota; Viridiplantae; Streptophyta; Magnoliopsida; Rosales; Rosaceae
Source: RefSeq, a predicted model, not a curated record